CAACAUUUGGUUUCCAGUGGCUCGAUCGUGAUGUGCAGCUGGGCGAUAACUUGAAGGAUGAGCUUCAGACGCAGGUCAAAGAAACUAUAAAGGCAGAGGGUGAGAAGCAAGCUGUAAAAACCGCGAUGCAGAUAAGACAGGACCAACGGAAGAUGAUGCUCCAGGGUCUCCACCAGAAAAGCAGCUGAGACUGUUCUCCCACUACAUGAGGACUCCCUCUUCUGCCAAGAAGAAGCUGUCAGUCCAGGCUCAGUUAAAUGCAUACCUGGACUGGAUUGCUGAACAGAUCUCUGACCCACUCUCAUGCCUCUGGUUUUGGCAACAGAACAAAAAUAAAUUCCCUUCCCUUUA
Long non-coding RNA from Notolabrus celidotus (New Zealand spotty), 351 nucleotides. RefSeq lists it as uncharacterized. The record is from RefSeq and is a predicted model, not a curated record. NCBI's taxonomy places the organism in Eukaryota, Metazoa, Chordata, Actinopteri, Labriformes, Labridae. The transcript is spliced from 2 exons.